This 937-nucleotide long non-coding RNA is filed under the name Phascolarctos cinereus (koala). RNAcentral's name for it is "lncRNA (ENSPCIG00000028104.2)". Lineage: Eukaryota; Metazoa; Chordata; Mammalia; Diprotodontia; Phascolarctidae. The record is from RNAcentral.
ACUGGAGAUACUUUUCUAAAAACGGGCAUCCUUUGCACAGGGCGCAAUUUUUUUUAUUUUAAAGUAAAAUUUAUUGUUUCAAUAUAACAAAAUUAAUUUCCUUUCCCUCUUCCCCAUUUCCCCCUUGCAGAAUCAACUCCCGGAAUGCCAACUUUUUAAUUUUUUGAAAAGUGAAUACAAAUGUAUUUCUCUCUCCCACCCCUUCAUCGUAAAAUAAAAACGAAAUUCCAAACCUAACAAGCUACCCGUGGUCAAGCAAAAUCGAUUCCCUGCAUGCACACUUUUUCGGCCCAACUGAAUUUUAAAAACGAGCACGAAUGCGUUUUCUCCCUGACCACCCCACCAUCCCAUCACUAAACGCGCGCCUGCCCAGGCGCACUUUCGCGCGUGAAGGCAGAGGCGGUUUGUCCUUGGGGAGCGAGCGUGCAUGUGCACGUGGGUGGGUGGCUCGUACUUCUCUCGGGCACACGUGGGACGUGCGGAAGCAAACGAGAAGCAAACUUUUCUUUUCCUGCCUGGGACGGAAAGGACGCCCCCCCGUCGCGCGGCAGUCCCGGGGCGCGGCCGCAACAUGGCGGGCGUGGAGGCGGCCCAGGCGGCGGCCUCGGAGAGGCACCUGAACGGUGAGCUGGAGCCGGACGACAAGGACGACGGCGCGGCCGCCACGACCGAGGAGACGGCCAAGAAGAAGCGCCGCAAGAAGAAGAAGGGCAAGGCCGGGGCCGCAGGACAACAGGAAACGGAAGGAGAAUCGGGGACUUCAGUGGAUGAGGUAGCCAAGCAGCUGGAAAAACAUGCCCUGGAGGAUAAAGAAAAAGAGGAUGACGAUGAAGAUGGAGAUGGUGAUGGAGAUGGAGCAGCAGGAAAGAAAAAGAAAAAGAAGAAAAAGAAGAAAGGACGUGAGUUUCUAAACUGGAUUUUAUUUGAUAAAACUUAA